UCCAAUUAGAACUGCAACAGUUAGUCGAUUGGUCGAUUAGAAAUCGACUACUAAAAUUAAUCGCCAACUAUUUUGAUAAUCGAUUAAUCGAUGGAAGUGGUUUUUAUGAAAAAAAAAAAUCUAAAUUGUCUGAUUUGAGCUUCUUGAAAGUCAAUAUUUUCUGGUUUCUUUGCUCCUCUAUGACAGUAAACGGAAUAUCUUUGGUGUUUGGACAAAACAAAACGAUCGACAUCUUUCACCAUUUUAUGGACCAAACAACUAAUUGAUUUAUUUGAGAAAAAAUAACCGACAGAUUAAUCGAUAAUGAACAUGAUCAUUAGUUGCAGCCCUGGAUCCAACGGUUGGAUCCUUCUGGGCCCAAUCCCGGGAUUCAUUGCACCCGUGACAACUCCCUUCUCAAUAUGGCGGCAGACACCGAUGACAAAACAGUGACCGAGCAGUAGGUUCUGAAAGAUUAGCGAUUUAAACGCUCCGCCGUGGUGCUGUUUCAACGACCUCUCCUGACUCUGCCAAGAUGCUUCAUCAUUAACUGUCACCUGAAAAGCCCCCAGGUCUGUCUGCUGCAAACCACACCAGAAGGAGACCCAAGAAAAUGCCGUCAUCGUACAUCCGUCCUCAUUAAGAUAAUAACUGAGGAAAAUAAAAAUAUUCGGGCCAUUAACAGGGAUUACCAGAUUGCAGUGCAGAUUACACUAUUACUUUGCAUGUAGAAACUGCAUUAGCCACCAGUGUGUUGUCAAAGGCAUGUCAUCAAAAAUACCUGGGGAUUACAGAUCGUUGACGACUCUUUAUUACUGUCUGUUUCACAUUUCCCCGAGUGAAUGUAGUGUUCAAAGUGAAGACGAAUACAAAUAAAGUCAUCAAUCAAUGACAAAAACAACACAAAGGAUAAUGGAUUAUUGAUGCUGCAGAGUAUUUGCAGGGAAGUUUGUAAUUAUCAUUUUCUGACUUCGGACUUGUUCAUAAACUGGCACUCUGA
Molecule: long non-coding RNA, 979 nt
Organism: Scophthalmus maximus (turbot)
Lineage: Eukaryota; Metazoa; Chordata; Actinopteri; Pleuronectiformes; Scophthalmidae
Exons: 3
Source: RefSeq, a predicted model, not a curated record